RNAcentral lists this ribosomal RNA (253 nucleotides) under uncultured bacterium. RNAcentral describes it as "partial 16S ribosomal RNA". It matches the Rfam family "Bacterial small subunit ribosomal RNA", at positions 524 to 776 of the family's 1533-position model. The record is from RNAcentral.
UACGAAGGGGGCUAGCGUUGCUCGGAAUUACUGGGCGUCAAGGGCGCGUAGGCGGGUGUUUAAGUCAGAGGUCAAAUCCCAGGGCUCAACCCUGGAACUGCCUUUGAUACUGGGCACCUAGAGUUCGGGAGAGGUGUGUGGAACUCCGAGUGUAGAGGUGAAAUUCGUAGAUAUUCGGAAGAACACCAGUGGCGAAGGCGACACACUGGCCCGAUACUGACGCUGAGGCGCGAAAGCGUGGGGAGCAAACAGG